UGUACCUUUACUGGCAACCAAGGCUGUGAAAUGUGAAAUAUUUAGGACUCGCUUUUGAUGAUGGUUGCAAAAAUGCAAGACCUUUUGGGCUGUGUCCAAGCUGACAUUGCUAUUUAAGAGGCAGGAAAUAUGAGCGCAAAGCCAGGAGCUGGGUGCAAAGAGGCUGGAUUUGCUGUGUUCUUUAGGCAUGGCUGUGUUGUAGUCCAGACAUGACAUCUACCAAUCAGUCCAAUAUGUCCUUCCCUUUAAACGAGACUGUGCCAGGCGCACAGCACUGUAGUAUCAACGAAGCAGAUUUGUGCAAUGUGUAUGAACAAAUUAAAUUCAAGAUGUCAGUGUGCACUGCGGACAGCAGCCACCCAAGCUCCCUGAGGUGAAGCUCUGUGGAAAAAAAUAGAUUUUUUGUUUGUUUGUUUGUUUCUUGGCACGGGUGUUGUUCAUUCAUUUUGCUUAAUGGUUGUUUUUGAUGCACUUUCCUUGUCUAUUUUACACAUACUGUAUAAUAUCGCCUGUGUUGAAGAGAGAGAGGGAGGAGAGACAUAUCUCAUAAAUUUGUUUUUGUGUUUUCCCUCUCCUGCCACUACAUGUUUUUUAUUUGCCCACAGUGGCCAUAAUACACUGUCACAUUGUUAUUACACAAUUCAAGCAACUGGUGACAAAAUGUGUAGUGAAGAAGCUAAAGAUGUUAAAUCUUUAGUAUAGUUACACUGUGAUAAUCAGUGGGAUUAUCCUCACCCUUUAUGAAGUUCUUCUUUAGAGACGCUCGUGUCGAGCUCAGUUUGGAAUGACACCAACAGAAGAGCAAAUUAUUUCACACUGGAUGAAUCACAUCACCUGGACCACUUUACACAGAUUUGUAAAAAUUACUCAAAGGACGUCCUUCAUUUAAAAAAUAUAUAUAUAUGCAUUUCCUUUUCUAUAUCAUCUGAGAUAGAAGGUACACAGCAAAAUCUUCAGUGUUAAUUCUGCUCACAUAGUGUUACAAGCAAAUUGUCCAUAAGAGCAAGGGACACAACUGUAAGUUGAUUUUUGGCUGUCAGCCCAUCUUAUUUUCACUGAAAGUUAACUUCUCAGAUGAACAAACAGUCAAGGCCUUCUUGCACAUUUGAGUAGCUUUUGUCACCAUCUAGCGGACAAUGUGGGCAUUUCAUGGCUUCUAUACAUUGCCUACUUGAAACCCAAAAUUCAGAAAAAAAUCAAAAAAGGCAUUUAUAAAUGUCAGAAAUGCUUGAUUAUUAUUAUUAUUUAUUUAUUUCAUCUUUUUCUUUUUUCUUUUCUUUUUUAUUUAUUUUUUUGCUGGCAGACCCACUAUUAAUGUAUAAAAAUUUCAGUAUUAAGAGUUUUACAAUUCUUGCAUUUUAGGACGUGGAAGGCUUUGCCAUAUGGAAAGACGGACAGAAAGACAGGAAUUACUACAUGUUAUUCCUGAGUUUAUGUAGUCACUAAUUCCAAGUUAAAGUUACAUUUCCAAUUACGUUAAAAUCUAAAUUAUUUGUUAUGCUAAUUUUCCGACACUGGCAGCAUGACUUGAUGACAUAUGAAAAGUCUCUUUCCACCAAUUUACCCAACUCAGAUUUAAAAGCAUUAAGUUGUUUUAGGCAUUGUUUACAAGAAUACCACCAAGAUCUCAAGCAGGGUUUGAACCUACAACCUACUGAUUAUGAAGCAAAAGCUCUGAUCAUUUUCAUCUUCUUCUGAAAUACGUGUCAUGGGUUGUACCACAAAUCUACGCUUCAGACAUUCGCAGUGAUGACAUGAAAGUACGUGGUACUGUGUUGUAAUUUAAACAACUUAUCUUUUCAACUUCACCCAACUUUAAAUUUUAAGGCAAGCCCGACUUUAAAGCUCCAAAAAAUAUUUUAAAAAAGCAGUAAUUUCACACAAUAUAACCCCUUUAAAUGUCAUAAUCAUAAGUGUUUAAUGACAUUAGAUGAAAACCAGGUAUUACACUGGAAUUUAAAUGUUUGCUGCUAUUUGUACCAAAGGACUAAGAAAAAAAAUGAUUGAGGAUGUUAUUUGCUGGGAUUAGUCAAAGUAUGACCAGUGUCUCCCUUGCUGCCUUUAAUACGUACAUAUGCCUGUUGAACCAAGUUCAGAAUUUUGAACAGCCAGCAGGUAAGCGCACACUGUGAUUUUCCUGCAGUGUGACCUCCUGAUUAAAAAUGAGGUUACAUAUCAUCUGUCUACAAGUGCAACACAGCCUUUUUCUGUUUCCACGUAAGUGUUUACUGUUUAGGUGAUACUGAUUGUAAAUCCAGUCUGCCUGACUCCCAUUGAAAAACCUAACCUCAGUUAAUAGAAAAAAACCCAACUGCUCAGGACUCUUUUAAAAGGAAAGCAGUUUUUCUACAGCAUGUGUAUUCUGAAGCUGACUACCAGCUGUGAAUGUGAAACACAAAAACAUGAAUGUACUGUAUAAGAAGCAUAAGUUGCAUUCAUUUUGAUGACACUGAUAUGAUGUAAAUGCUGAUUAUGGUAUACUCACCUGCUGCAUCACAUGUCAGUAAUAUCUGGGCUUUAAUUAACUGGUGGAUGUACAACAGAUUGUCUCUCAUUGCUGUAAGAUAUGCAUGCUUUGUUUUUUUUUUUGUUUUUGUUUUUUCUUGAAUCUAACAGCUUUAAAUUGAAUGAUCAUGAAUUUUUCUCCAGCUGAAUCUGAGGCAUCUCACUCAUUACUAAAUAAAGAAUAAUUGCACAGUU
This is a long non-coding RNA of Thalassophryne amazonica, 2700 nucleotides long. RefSeq lists it as uncharacterized. The transcript is spliced from 3 exons. The record is from RefSeq and is a predicted model, not a curated record. Lineage: Eukaryota; Metazoa; Chordata; Actinopteri; Batrachoidiformes; Batrachoididae.